Molecule: long non-coding RNA, 3262 nt
Organism: Lagopus muta (rock ptarmigan)
Lineage: Eukaryota; Metazoa; Chordata; Aves; Galliformes; Phasianidae
Exons: 6
Source: RefSeq, a predicted model, not a curated record
AUUCUGCUUGGGAGCUGCCUCCUUGGAAGUAUUGGGAGUGAGUUCUGCCCUUUGGAAUGGGGACUGUGACCUUUCCUGUUUUUGGGGCAUCCUGACCACAUUGAAGUGCUGGCAGAUGUAAGGGCAGCAUUGAUCUCUGGAGACUGUCUCCUGUGGAGCAGGGGGACUUCACCUGACUGCCUCGACUUCUCAAAUACCACUGAGAGUGGCUCGGUGACUGCAGCGGUGAAUUCCCUCAGGGCUCUGGGACUCGUCUCAUCAGGACCCAAAGACUCCUGGAUGUCAGGUUCUCAGGUGGCUGCGGAGUUGCAGCGCUCCCGAGUGCCGUAACGACUGCAUGGAGAUGCGUGGCUCUUCGUGGGAACAGCAAGGAACCAGAAUCUGCAUUUCCUGGAAUGCCCCGGAACCUCGCUUUGCUGGCUGGUAAUUGUCUGCCCAGCAGGUGGCAGCAGAGCUGCGUUGCUCCUGAGCACUUUAAGGACAGCACGGAGAUGCGCGGCUCUUCACGGCAGCAGCAGAAACUGAAAUCUGCAUUUCCUGGAACGCCCCAGAACCUCGCUUUGCUGGCCGGUAAUUGUCUGCCCAGCAGGUGAAGAUGCCUUCGAUGCUUCCAGUCGAUGACUUCCCCCCACGAUGCCAUUGGCUUUCCUGGCCUCCCACAGUCACCGCCAGCUCAGUUCAUUUGAGCCGUUACCCCGAAUCCCCACUCCGUUCCCUUUCCAUGAUCUUCCUGUCACUCUGCCACAAGCCCCCACCAAGGUCAUCGCAGGCAACGUGUGGGAUGCAGCACUCGGUCUCAUUACAGUUCAUCCCAUCAGCUUCAGCCCAGCGAUCCAACCCACCCGCACCCUUCCUGAGGGCCCUUCUGCUCCCAGGCCAAUCAACGCUUCCUUCUGAUGCCAUCUGCGUUCCUUCCUGCCCACUUUCAGACUCGUGCCACUUUGUGGCCAUUUUGAGAGUUGCGCUGAUUUCAGCGUCUGCAUUCAAUUGACUUCAACCAAAUUGGCUUUAGCUUUACAUUCAAUUAUUGUAAACCAAAUUGGCUUUAGUUUUACAUUCGAUUAAUGUAAACCAAAUUGGCUUUAGUUUUACAUUCGAUUAAUGUAAACCAAAUUGGCUUUAAGUUUGCCUUGCUUACGGGGUUGGGUUAGCUUUGCUUUGUUUGUUCUAGCGCAGGGCUAACCCAACCCCGUAACCAAGGGCCGGUGGAGGCGAUUUUGUUCCUUCCCGGCCAGUCUGAGACUCGUGCCCCCUUGUGGCCAUUUGAAGAGUUGCGCUGAUUUCAGCGUCUGCAUUCAAUUGAUCUCAACCAAAUUGGCUUUGGAUUUGCAUUCAAUUGACUUCAACCAAAUUGGCUUUAGUUUUACACUCAAUUAUUGUAAACCAAAUUGGCUUUAGUUUUACAUCCAAUUAAAUGUAAACCAAAUUGGCUUUAGUUUUACAUCCAAUUAAAUGUAAACCAAAUUGGCUUUAAGUUUGCCUUGCUUACGGGGUUGGGUUAGCUUUGCUUUGUUUGUUCUAGCGCAGGGCUAACCCAACCCCGUAACCAAGGGCCGGCGGAGGCGAUUUUGUUCCUUCCCGGCCAGUCUGAGACUCGUGCCCCCUUGUGGCCGUUUGAUGAUCUGUGCUGAUUUCAGCGUCUGCAUUCAAUUAAUCUCAACCAAAUUGGCUUUAGCCUUGCAGUCAUUUUGCAUCAACCAAAUUGGCUUUAGUUUUAUAUUCACUUGACUUCAAUCAAAUUGGCUUUAGCUUUACACUCAAUUAUUGUAAACCAAAUUGGCUUUAGUUUUACAUCCAAAUUAUGUAAACCAAAUUGGCUUUAAGUUUGCCUUGCUUACGGGGUUGGGUUAGCUUUGCUUUGUUUGUUCUAGCGCAGGGCUAACCCAACCCCGUAACCAAGGGCCGGCGGAGGCGAUUUUGUUCCUUCCCGGCCAGUCUGAGACUCGUGCCCCCUUGUGGCCGUUUGAUGAUCUGUGCUGAUUUCAGCGUCUGCAUUCAAUUGAUCUCAACCAAAUUGGCUUUAGCCUUGCAGUCAUUUUGCAUCAACCAAAUUGGCUUUGGCUUUGCAUUCAACUUAUUUCAACCAAAUUGGCUUUAGUUUUACAUUCAAUUGACUUCAAUCAAAUUGGCUUUAGUUUUACAUCCAAUUAAUGUAAACCAAAUUGGCUUUAGCGUUGCCUUGCUUACGGGGUUGGGUUAGCUUUGCUUUGUUUGUUCUAGCGCAGGGCUAACCCAACCCCGUAACCAAGGGCCGGCGGAGGCGAUUUUGUUCCUCCCGGCCAGUCUGAGACUCGCGCCCUCUUGUGGCCAUUUGAAGAGUUGCGCUGAUUUCAGCGUCUGCAUUCAAUUGAUCUCAACCAAAUUGGCUUUAGCCUUGCAGUCAUUUUGCAUCAACCAAAUUGGCUUUAGCUUUACAUUCAAUUAUUGUAAACCAAAUUGGCUUUAGUUUUACAUUCGAUUAAUGUAAACCAAAUUGGCUUUAAGUUUGCCUUGCUUACGGGGUUGGGUUAGCUUUGCUUUGUUUGUUCUAGCGCAGGGCUAACCCAACCCCGUAACCAAGGGCCGGUGGAGGCGAUUUUGUUCCUUCCCGGCCAGUCUGAGACUCGUGCCCCCUUGUGGCCAUUUGAAGAGUUGCGCUGAUUUCAGCGUCUGCAUUCAAUUAAUCUCAACCAAAUUGGCUUUAGCCUUGCAGUCAUUUUGCAUCAAAUCAAAUUGGCUUUGGCUUUGCAUUCAACUUAUUUCAACCAAAUUGGCUUUAGUUUUACAUUCAAUUGACUUCAAUCAAAUUGGCUUUAGUUUUACAUCCAAUUAAUGUAAACCAAAUUGGCUUUAGCGUUGCCUUGCUUACGGGGUUGGGUUAGCUUUGCUUUGUUUGUUCCUAGGCAGGGCUAACCCAACCCCGUAACCAAGGGCCGGUGGAGGCGAUUUUGUUCCUCCCGGCCAGUCUGAGACUUGCGCCCCUUUGUGGCCAUUCUGAGAAUUGCAAUGUCUUUGGAUGGGCUGAGAGCUGCACUGCUUUUCAGGUGGGUUGCAGUACACAACAUUCUCACAAAUGCGGUGUCACUAAUGGGGUAUGGAGGCUUUGUACUCUUUCUCUGGUUGGUCUGACGUCUAUGCGAACCAUGUGUUACAGCUGUACUGCAUAUGUGUGUGCUGCGCCUGUAAAUUGCGUCGUGCCAUGUACACAAUAUGUGUUAUGUUGCGCCUAUGAACUGUGCUAUGCCAUGUACAGAAUGUGUGGAGGCCGUGCCUAUAAACUAAG